CCGCUGAAACAAAGAAUUGUUCGGUCCAUUUUGAAGCUCUCUGCGUCGGGAAUGUUAAAACACUUCCAAAUCAAACAUACAACGACGAAAACAAGGUAGAGGGUAGAGAGAAGGCAUUGCUCAAAGUGAAGAACUCUGCUUUUAAAAAAAGAAAGGUUUAAGCUAAAGUGAACCAGACUUUAGAAAAACCCCUUCUAAGAUUAUAGUAUCCUUAACUUAACAGGCCUAGCUGCCUCUACAUAGGACCCAAUAGCCUUAUAUUUUUCUAACCCUCACAAUAUAACACUUUGUUUAUACAUGUCUUUUUCACUGUUAUUUAUCUAUUCAAUGUCUUAAAUGAUAAAUCUAUUUCAUCUUCAUGUACAUUGGAUUUAUCCUAAAUAAUUUGAUUGAAGUUAUUAAUGCUAAAUUUUUUUAGUUUUUUAUAUAAAAUAUAAAUUAGAACAAAUUAUUCAAAUUUGUAGAAUUCAUCCAGUUAACAAUUUUAACAACAUUAUGAGAAAAAAUUAAAUUGAAUAUAAAUUAUUAAAAUUAAAAUCAUAUUUGAAUAUUAAAAAAAUAAGGCUCACAUCAAACAAAGUAAAAAGUAAGAAUAAAAAAGUAUUUAAAUAAUAAUUUUAUAAAAAAUUUAAAAUCAUAUUUAAAUAAAUUGAUUAUUACAUGUCAUAUAUAAUAAUGAUCCUAUUUCUUAUUCAACAUUUAUAAAACGAAUAUACUUUACUUUGCAAUUAUAUCAAAUACAAAGGAGAUAGGAAAAAGUAAGAACAAAGGUUGAAUUUUGCUAUUUAACUAUAGUCUAAUGAGAAAGACGGUAUAUUUAUUUAUUUAUUUUGGAAAAGCACAUCAUAAUCAUAUUUUGGAUAACGACUAAGAGGGGAAAAUGAUCUAGGAAAAGUGUGUGAUAUGGUUUUGGCACUGGAAGGAAAGGGUUAAAGAUUCCAACAUACCAAUUUGAGUCAAAUUCAUCAUUUAAUACACGCAAGUUGACUAAGUUUCCUCAUACCACGUAUCAAACACCACCUUCACUCUCUCUCACCAAAUACAAUGUUCAUUUCUCAACUUAAUAAUCCUAAUUUUCUUUUCUCCUCCAUUCCCAAGUGAUUUCCAU
This 1108-nucleotide long non-coding RNA is filed under the name Vigna radiata. RNAcentral's name for it is "long non-coding RNA (VRAD_LNC004450)". Lineage: Eukaryota; Viridiplantae; Streptophyta; Magnoliopsida; Fabales; Fabaceae. The record is from RNAcentral.